RNAcentral lists this transfer RNA (73 nucleotides) under Clostridioides difficile. RNAcentral's name for it is "tRNA-Phe(gaa)". It matches the Rfam family "tRNA". Rfam says of the family: Transfer RNA (tRNA) molecules are approximately 80 nucleotides in length. Their secondary structure includes four short double-helical elements and three loops (D, anti-codon, and T loops). The record is from RNAcentral. Lineage: Bacteria; Bacillati; Bacillota; Clostridia; Peptostreptococcales; Peptostreptococcaceae.
UCCGGAUNUAGCUCAGUCGGUAGAGCAGGGGACUGAAAAUCCCCGUGUCGGUGGUUCGAUUCCGCCUCUGGGC